AACGAACGCUGGCGGCAGGCCUAACACAUGCAAGUCGAACGCCCCGCAAGGGAGUGGCAGACGGGUGAGUAACACGUGGGAACAUACCCUUCGGUUCGGAAUAACUCAGGGAAACUUGAGCUAAGACCGGAUACGUCCGCGAGGAGAAAGAUUCAUCGCCGGAGGAUUGGCCCGCGUCCGAUUAGCUAGUUGGUGAGGUAACGGCUCACCAAGGCGACGAUCGGUAGCUGGUCUGAGAGGAUGAUCAGCCACAUUGGGACUGAGACACGGCCCAAACUCCUACGGAGGCAGCAGUGGGAAUAUUGGACAAUGGGCGAAAGCCUGAUCCAGCCAUGCCGCGUGAGUGAUGAAGGCCCUAGGGUUGUAAAGCUCUUUCGUCAGGGACGAUAAUGACGGUACCUGAAGAAGAAGCCCCGGCUAACUUCGUGCCAGCCGCCGCGGUAAC
This 445-nucleotide ribosomal RNA is filed under the name uncultured bacterium. Its description in RNAcentral is "bacterial SSU rRNA". It matches the Rfam family "Bacterial small subunit ribosomal RNA", at positions 29 to 524 of the family's 1533-position model. The record is from RNAcentral.